RNAcentral lists this transfer RNA (30 nucleotides) under Juniperus osteosperma. RNAcentral describes it as "partial tRNA-Ser". The record is from RNAcentral. RNAcentral also lists the same sequence under 1 other name. Lineage: Eukaryota; Viridiplantae; Streptophyta; Pinopsida; Cupressales; Cupressaceae.
CACCGCUUUAGUCCGCUCAGCCAUCUCUCC